CCUACGGGAGGCAGCAGUGAGGAAUAUUGGUCAAUGGACGAGAGCCUGAACCAGCCAAGUCGCGUGAAGGAUGAAGGAUCUAUGGUUUGUAAACUUCUUUUAUAUGGGAAUAAAGUGAGGAACGUGUUCCUUUUUGUAUGUACCAUAUGAAUAAGCAUCGGCUAACUCCGUGCCAGCAGCCGCGAUAAUACGGAGGAUGCGAGCGUUAUCCGGAUUUAUUGGGUUUAAAGGGUGCGUAGGUGGUUAAUUAAGUCAGCGGUGAAAGUUUGUGGCUCAACCAUAAAAUUGCCGUUGAAACUGGUCGACUUGAGUAUAUUUGAGGUAGGCGGAAUGCGUGGUGUAGCGGUGAAAUGCAUAGAUAUCACGAAGAACUCCGAUUGCGAAGGCAGCUCACUGGACUGCAACUGACACUGAGGCUCGAAAGUGUGGGUAUCAAACAGGAUUAGAUACCCGAGUAGUC
Molecule: ribosomal RNA, 460 nt
Filed under: uncultured bacterium
Lineage: Bacteria
Description: partial 16S ribosomal RNA
Rfam family: Bacterial small subunit ribosomal RNA
Source: RNAcentral